This is a long non-coding RNA of Carassius auratus (goldfish), 1727 nucleotides long. RefSeq lists it as uncharacterized. NCBI's taxonomy places the organism in Eukaryota, Metazoa, Chordata, Actinopteri, Cypriniformes, Cyprinidae. The transcript is spliced from 2 exons. The record is from RefSeq and is a predicted model, not a curated record.
AAUUAAAUUAGCUUAGAUUUAAACAUUUACAUUAUAUACACAAGUAUAAGACACAAGUACAAUGCUUCAUAUAUAUUAGUUAGAUGACUUUCCCCUUAAUAUAAACUCAUAACUUUUUAGAGAGUAUGCUUAACAAAGAGGCACACGAACAAAGUGAUACAAGUAAAAUGCUUUAGAUAUAUGUAUUAGUCUGACAAAUUUCCUCUUAAUAUAAACUUGCAUAACAUUUUAGAAAGGGUUAGUUGUCAUGGUUCCAGUACUGCUCAACAUGACAAAUAUCCACGGAGCAGUCUUAUGUAACCCAAAUUUUGACUUCUGUCAUGUGUGCAUUUGCUACUUGCUAAAAAGUACAGGACAGCCUGUGCUGAAGGCCUCAGCUGAACUUUAGACUUAGAAGACUUCUAUACAAAUAUGGAAAUAAGAAAAGUUAAAGAUAAAAGAUUUCCACGAAAUGUUUAUACUUCUAAAAACAGCAUGAUUCAGAGACGUUUAUAUUCCAUCACACGUCUGCUAUUUGGAGUCAUUCGAACCCCCCCCUGUGGGUUCUUAACAAAAGAGAACCAGACGAUUAAUCUUCUGAGGUAGGACAGUUGGACUUUGAACAUACAAUCUGCUGACCUUACGAAAUAGGGAACUGAAAUUAGGCUGCAAGGGCUAGGAUGUAUUUUCGGAGAAGGAUGACGACUGUUUUGAUAUCUGUUUGAGACGUGGCUGCAGAGACGUGGCAUGGGUUUGAUACAGAUUGGCAGGGCUAUAAGAGGAGGCAAAUUCAGCUCUCUCUCUCUCUCUCUCUCGCGCAGACUGAGUUCAGCCUAGACCCUUCUAGCUGGACUUAGUCUUUUCUCACCUUCUUUAUCUUUGAUUCCGGGCUCACUUGAAUACUUUGAACUUCUCUCAGGUUUUAUUCAUCUCAGAUAUGAUUAUUAUUAUAUUAUUUGUUAUUAUAUGAAUAUUAUUAUAACUUUUGACUUUUGAUAUACAGGGUAUUGUUGUAUACUUUGUAUUAUUAUUUUUAACAUCUUGAUUACUUUUGAAUAUUAUAAUGCAUUUUGUAUUACUUUUAAUUGGGCAACAUCCAUCAUACAUGGAUUGCUUUUAAAACUAUAUUAAUUUGGGGAUUUGUAUUUUCUAUAUUUGAAGCUGAUUUUAAUACUUACUAAUCUGUUUGCAAGUUAUGAGUUGUAUUCUCAUUUCCUAUAUUCUUUGAGUAAAUUUGCAUACUAAAAUACCACCCCACCGUCUGACCAGAAUUGAAGUCUCAUUUUUUGCAUCAGUUUUGGAGGCACCCGCUGGAGAUCGUUGAAGUUUUCAUUUCAUUAAGUUUCGAUGCAACGCAAGACAAAAUAAAGAGAGGUAUGAGUGCAUGCUGAUACGGAACCUAUCCUGCGUAUAUUUACCACACGACUGGUUCUAAGGGUGACCCCUUUGGUGUGACUUCUGCAACAGUGCAGCUCAUCAACGAUUCGGGAGUGGUUGCUGUGCUCGUAGCUGGACAUCUGUGUUGGAUCCCAAGAACUGGACGCAUCGUCAUCACAUCGCACGCUAACUCUACAUCAUCUGAGAGACUUGUGCUUUAAUCUACCAGCUGAUAUAUAGAUUUACAAAUCCCUACAUCAAGAUGCCUCACAAGAUUAUUGAUCAAAAAGAUUCUUUUACUCCUAUUGCUACCAGCAGUGAUGAAGAAAUGUAUGAAUUAGAGGUGAAGGGUAAGGAAAGAUACGAGAUGU